GGUUAAGCGACUAAGCGUACACGGUGGAUGCCCUGGCAGUCAGAGGCGAUGAAGGACGUGCUAAUCUGCGAUAAGCGUCGGUAAGGUGAUAUAAACCGUUAUAACCGGCGAUUUCCGAAUGGGGAAACCCAGUGUGUUUCGACACACUAUCAUUAACUGAAUCCAUAGGUUAAUGAGGCGAACCGGGGGAACUGAAACAUCUAAGUACCCCGAGGAAAAGAAAUCAACCGAGAUUCCCCCAGUAGCGGCGAGCGAACGGGGAGCAGCCCAGAGCCUGAAUCAGUAUGUGUGUUAGUGGAAGCGUCUGGAAAGGCGCGCGAUACAGGGUGACAGCCCCGUACACAAAAAUGCACAUAUUGUGAGCUCGAUGAGUAGGGCGGGACACGUGGUAUCCUGUCUGAAUAUGGGGGGACCAUCCUCCAAGGCUAAAUACUCCUGACUGACCGAUAGUGAACCAGUACCGUGAGGGAAAGGCGAAAAGAACCCCGGCGAGGGGAGUGAAAAAGAACCUGAAACCGUGUACGUACAAGCAGUGGGAGCACGCUUAGGCGUGUGACUGCGUACCUUUUGUAUAAUGGGUCAGCGACUUAUAUUCUGUAGCAAGGUUAACCGAAUAGGGGAGCCGAAGGGAAACCGAGUCUUAACUGGGCGUUAAGUUGCAGGGUAUAGACCCGAAACCCGGUGAUCUAGCCAUGGGCAGGUUGAAGGUUGGGUAACACUAACUGGAGGACCGAACCGACUAAUGUUGAAAAAUUAGCGGAUGACUUGUGGCUGGGGGUGAAAGGCCAAUCAAACCGGGAGAUAGCUGGUUCUCCCCGAAAGCUAUUUAGGUAGCGCCUCGUGAAUUCAUCUCCGGGGGUAGAGCACUGUUUCGGCAAGGGGGUCAUCCCGACUUACCAACCCGAUGCAAACUGCGAAUACCGGAGAAUGUUAUCACGGGAGACACACGGCGGGUGCUAACGUCCGUCGUGAAGAGGGAAACAACCCAGACCGCCAGCUAAGGUCCCAAAGUCAUGGUUAAGUGGGAAACGAUGUGGGAAGGCCCAGACAGCCAGGAUGUUGGCUUAGAAGCAGCCAUCAUUUAAAGAAAGCGUAAUAGCUCACUGGUCGAGUCGGCCUGCGCGGAAGAUGUAACGGGGCUAAACCAUGCACCGAAGCUGCGGCAGCGACACUAUGUGUUGUUGGGUAGGGGAGCGUUCUGUAAGCCUGUGAAGGUGUGCUGUGAGGCAUGCUGGAGGUAUCAGAAGUGCGAAUGCUGACAUAAGUAACGAUAAAGCGGGUGAAAAGCCCGCUCGCCGGAAGACCAAGGGUUCCUGUCCAACGUUAAUCGGGGCAGGGUGAGUCGACCCCUAAGGCGAGGCCGAAAGGCGUAGUCGAUGGGAAACAGGUUAAUAUUCCUGUACUUGGUGUUACUGCGAAGGGGGGACGGAGAAGGCUAUGUUGGCCGGGCGACGGUUGUCCCGGUUUAAGCGUGUAGGCUGGUUUUCCAGGCAAAUCCGGAAAAUCAAGGCUGAGGCGUGAUGACGAGGCACUACGGUGCUGAAGCAACAAAUGCCCUGCUUCCAGGAAAAGCCUCUAAGCAUCAGGUAACAUCAAAUCGUACCCCAAACCGACACAGGUGGUCAGGUAGAGAAUACCAAGGCGCUUGAGAGAACUCGGGUGAAGGAACUAGGCAAAAUGGUGCCGUAACUUCGGGAGAAGGCACGCUGAUAUGUAGGUGAAGUCCCUCGCGGAUGGAGCUGAAAUCAGUCGAAGAUACCAGCUGGCUGCAACUGUUUAUUAAAAACACAGCACUGUGCAAACACGAAAGUGGACGUAUACGGUGUGACGCCUGCCCGGUGCCGGAAGGUUAAUUGAUGGGGUUAGCCGCAAGGCGAAGCUCUUGAUCGAAGCCCCGGUAAACGGCGGCCGUAACUAUAACGGUCCUAAGGUAGCGAAAUUCCUUGUCGGGUAAGUUCCGACCUGCACGAAUGGCGUAAUGAUGGCCAGGCUGUCUCCACCCGAGACUCAGUGAAAUUGAACUCGCUGUGAAGAUGCAGUGUACCCGCGGCAAGACGGAAAGACCCCGUGAACCUUUACUAUAGCUUGACACUGAACAUUGAGCCUUGAUGUGUAGGAUAGGUGGGAGGCUUUGAAGUGUGGACGCCAGUCUGCAUGGAGCCGACCUUGAAAUACCACCCUUUAAUGUUUAAUGUUCUAACGUUGACCCGUAAUCCGGGUUGCGGACAGUGUCUGGUGGGUAGUUUGACUGGGGCGGUCUCCUCCUAAAGAGUAACGGAGGAGCACGAAGGUUGGCUAAUCCUGGUCGGACAUCAGGAGGUUAGUGCAAUGGCAUAAGCCAGCUUGACUGCGAGCGUGACGGCGCGAGCAGGUGCGAAAGCAGGUCAUAGUGAUCCGGUGGUUCUGAAUGGAAGGGCCAUCGCUCAACGGAUAAAAGGUACUCCGGGGAUAACAGGCUGAUACCGCCCAAGAGUUCAUAUCGACGGCGGUGUUUGGCACCUCGAUGUCGGCUCAUCACAUCCUGGGGCUGAAGUAGGUCCCAAGGGUAUGGCUGUUCGCCAUUUAAAGUGGUACGCGAGCUGGGUUUAGAACGUCGUGAGACAGUUCGGUCCCUAUCUGCCGUGGGCGCUGGAGAACUGAGGGGGGCUGCUCCUAGUACGAGAGGACCGGAGUGGACGCAUCACUGGUGUUCGGGUUGUCAUGCCAAUGGCACUGCCCGGUAGCUAAAUGCGGAAGAGAUAAGUGCUGAAAGCAUCUAAGCACGAAACUUGCCCCGAGAUGAGUUCUCCCUGACUCCUUGAGAGUCCUGAAGGAACGUUGAAGACGACGACGUUGAUAGGCCGGGUGUGUAAGCGCAGCGAUGCGUUGAGCUAACCGGUACUAAUGAACCGUGAGGCUUAACCUU
Molecule: ribosomal RNA, 2905 nt
Filed under: Escherichia coli
Lineage: Bacteria; Pseudomonadati; Pseudomonadota; Gammaproteobacteria; Enterobacterales; Enterobacteriaceae
Description: 23S ribosomal RNA
Rfam family: Bacterial large subunit ribosomal RNA
Source: RNAcentral